GGACGUGGUGUAAUGGUAGCAUAGUUGUCUCCAGAACAAUUGAUGGGGGUUCGAUUCCUUCCGUUCU
RNAcentral lists this transfer RNA (67 nucleotides) under uncultured Methanobrevibacter sp. It matches the Rfam family "tRNA". From Rfam's summary of the family: Transfer RNA (tRNA) molecules are approximately 80 nucleotides in length. Lineage: Archaea; Methanobacteriati; Methanobacteriota; Methanobacteria; Methanobacteriales; Methanobacteriaceae. The record is from RNAcentral.